This 468-nucleotide ribosomal RNA is filed under the name uncultured bacterium. RNAcentral describes it as "partial 16S ribosomal RNA". It matches the Rfam family "Bacterial small subunit ribosomal RNA", at positions 28 to 507 of the family's 1533-position model. The record is from RNAcentral.
GACGAACGCUGGCGGCGUGCUUAACACAUGCAAGUCGAACGGAAAGGCCCUGCUUUUGUGGGGUGCUCGAGUGGCGAACGGGUGAGUAACACGUGAGUAACCUGCCCUUGACUUUGGGAUAACUUCAGGAAACUGGGGCUAAUACCGGAUAUGAGCUCCUGCUGCAUGGUGGGGGUUGGAAAGUUUCGGCGGUUGGGGAUGGACUCGCGGCUUAUCAGCUUGUUGGUGGGGUAGUGGCUUACCAAGGCUUUGACGGGUAGCCGGCCUGAGAGGGUGACCGGACACAUUGGGACUGAGAUACGGCCCAGACUCCUACGGGAGGCAGCAGUGGGGAAUAUUGCACAAUGGGCGGAAGCCUGAUGUAGCAACGCCGCGUGCGGGAUGACGGCCUUCGGGUUGGAAACCGCUUUCGCCUGUGACGAAGCGUGAGUGACGGUAAUGGGUAAAGAAGCACCGGCUAACUACGUG